This 1761-nucleotide ribosomal RNA is filed under the name Megalopsalis turneri. Its description in RNAcentral is "partial small subunit ribosomal RNA". It matches the Rfam family "Eukaryotic small subunit ribosomal RNA". The record is from RNAcentral. Lineage: Eukaryota; Metazoa; Arthropoda; Arachnida; Opiliones; Neopilionidae.
UCAUAUGCUUGUCUCAAAGACUAAGCCAUGCAUGUCUAAGUACAUGCCGAAAUAAGGUGAAACCGCGAAUGGCUCAUUAAAUCAGUUAUGGUUUCUUAGAUCGUACUUUUUUACUUGGAUAACUGUGGUAAUUCUAGAGCUAAUACAUGCAGCAGAGCUCCGACCUUCGGGAACGAGCGCUUUUAUUAGACCAAGACCAAUCGAGCUUCGGCUCGUCUACCAUGGCGACUCUGGAUAACUUUGGGCAAAUCGCACGAUCUCGUAUCGGCGAUGUUUCUUUCAAGUGUCUGCCUUAUCAACUUUCGAUGGUAGGCUACGCGCCUACCAUGGUCGUAACGGGUAACGGGGAAUCAGGGUUCGAUUCCGGAGAGGGAGCCUGAGAAACGGCUACCACAUCCAAGGAAGGCAGCAGGCGCGCAAAUUACCCACUCCCGGCACGGGGAGGUAGUGACGAAAAAUAACAAUACGAGACUCUUUUGAGGCCUCGUAAUUGGAAUGAGUACACUCUAAAUCCUUUAACGAGGANNNNNNNNNNNNNNNNNNNNNNNNNNNNNNNNNNNNNNNNNNNNNNNNNNNNNNNNNNNNNNNNNNNNNNNNNNNNNNNNNNNNUCGUAGUUGAAUCUCAGUUCCAGACAGGCGGUCCGCUCCGGUGGUUACUGCCUGGCCUGAACAUCCUGACGGUUUUCCUUCUGUGCUCUUGACUGAGUGUCGUAGGUGCCCGUCACGUUUACUUUGAAAAAAUUGGAGUGCUCAAAGCAGGCGUUCCGCCUGAAUAAUGGUGCAUGGAAUAAUGAAAGAGGACUUCGAGUUCUAUUGUGUUGGUUUUCGGAACACGAGGUAAUGAUUAAAAGGGACAGACGGGGGCAUUCGUAUUGCGACGCUAGAGGUGAAAUUCUUGGACCGUCGCAAGACGAACUACAGCGAAAGCAUUUGCCAAGAAUGUUUUCAUUAAUCAAGAACGAAAGUUAGAGGUUCGAAGGCGAUCAGAUACCGCCCUAGUUCUAACCAUAAACGAUGCCAACCAGCGAUCCGCCUGAGUUACUCAAUUGACUCGGCGGGCAGCUUCCGGGAAACCAAAGUUUGUGGGUUCCGGGGGAAGUAUGGUUGCAAAGCUGAAACUUAAAGGAAUUGACGGAAGGGCACCACCAGGAGUGGAGCCUGCGGCUUAAUUUGACUCAACACGGGAAAACUUACCCGGCCCGGACACCGGAAGGAUUGACAGAUUAAGAGCUCUUUCUUGAUUCGGUGGGUGGUGGUGCAUGGCCGUUCUUAGUUGGUGGAGCGAUUUGUCUGGUUAAUUCCGAUAACGAACGAGACUCUAGCCUACUAAAUAGGCGACCGAUCACUUGUGUCGGUCUUCCUUCUUAGAGGGACAAGCGGCGUUUAGCCGCACGAGACAGAGCAAUAACAGGUCUGUGAUGCCCUUAGAUGUCCGGGGCCGCACGCGCGCUACACUGAAGGAAUCAGCGUGUGUUUACCCCUGUCCGGCAGGACUGGGUAACCCGAUGAACCUCCUUCGUGAUAGGGAUAGGAGCUUGUAAUUGUUCUCCUUGAACGAGGAAUUCCCAGUAAGCGCGAGUCAUAAGCUCGUGUUGAUUACGUCCCUGCCCUUUGUACACACCGCCCGUCGCUACUACCGAUUGAAUGAUUUAGUGAGGUCUUCGGACUGGUGCUCGGAGCGGCUCUCGGGUCGCACCGCCGUACCGGAAAGAUGACCAAACUUGAUCAUUUAGAGGAAGUAAAAGUCGUAACAAGGUUUCC